UGGGGAAUAUUGGACAAUGGGCGAAAGCCUGAUCCAGCCAUGCCGCGUGUGUGAAGAAGGCCUUAUGGUUGUAAAGCACUUUAAGCGAGGAGGAGGGUACUGGUAUUAAUACUACCAGGUACUGGACGUUACUCGCAGAAUAAGCACCGGCUAACUCUGUGCCAGCAGCCGCGGUAAUACAGAGGGUGCGAGCGUUAAUCGGAUUUACUGGGCGUAAAGCGUGCGUAGGCGGCUAAUUGAGUCGGAUGUGAAAUCCCCGAGCUUAACUUGGGAAUUGCAUUCGAUACUGGUUAGCUAGAGUGUGGGAGAGGAUGGUAGAAUUCCAGGUGUAGCGGUGAAAUGCGUAGAGAUCUGGAGGAAUACCGAUGGCGAAGGCAGCCAUCUGGCCUAACACUGACGCUGAGGUACGAAAGCAUGGGGAGCAAACAAG
RNAcentral lists this ribosomal RNA (430 nucleotides) under Pseudomonadota bacterium. RNAcentral describes it as "Proteobacteria bacterium partial 16S ribosomal RNA". It matches the Rfam family "Bacterial small subunit ribosomal RNA", at positions 355 to 776 of the family's 1533-position model. Lineage: Bacteria; Pseudomonadati; Pseudomonadota. The record is from RNAcentral.